This 240-nucleotide ribosomal RNA is filed under the name Triticum aestivum (bread wheat). RNAcentral describes it as "partial small subunit ribosomal RNA". The record is from RNAcentral. Lineage: Eukaryota; Viridiplantae; Streptophyta; Magnoliopsida; Poales; Poaceae.
AUGCCCCCCGACCCUCCCACACCUCCUCCUCCCCUUGCCCCCUCUCGCGCCGGGGCUGACGGCCCCUUCUCUGUCUCGCAGGGCAAGGUGGUGCCGGACGAGUACGACGAGCGCUCCUACUGCCUCUACGACACCGGCGCCUCCACCGUCUACGACGUUUGCGCCUUCUUCGUGCUCCUCCUUGCGCAGCUACUGGUCUCCGGCGUCACCCGCUGCCUCUGCUUCACCGUCUCCUGGUGA